This 91-nucleotide transfer RNA is filed under the name Clostridioides sp. Its description in RNAcentral is "tRNA-Ser". It matches the Rfam family "tRNA". Rfam says of the family: Transfer RNA (tRNA) molecules are approximately 80 nucleotides in length. Their secondary structure includes four short double-helical elements and three loops (D, anti-codon, and T loops). Further hydrogen bonds mediate the characteristic L-shaped molecular structure. tRNAs have two regions of fundamental functional importance: the anti-codon, which is responsible for specific mRNA codon recognition, and the 3' end, to which the tRNAs corresponding amino acid is attached (by aminoacyl-tRNA synthetases). tRNAs cope with the degeneracy of the genetic code in two manners: having more than one tRNA (with a specific anti-codon) for a particular amino acid; and 'wobble' base-pairing, i.e. permitting non-standard base-pairing at the 3rd anti-codon position. The record is from RNAcentral. Lineage: Bacteria; Bacillati; Bacillota; Clostridia; Peptostreptococcales; Peptostreptococcaceae.
GGAGAGAUGGUCGAGUUGGUCGAAGGCGCCCGCCUGGAAAGUGGGUAUACAUACCAAUGUAUCGUGGGUUCAAAUCCCACUCUCUCCGCCA